UGGGGGAUAUUGCACAAUGGGCGAAAGCCUGAUGCAGCGACGCCGCGUGGGGGAUGAAGGCCUUCGGGUUGUAAACUUCUUUUGCUCUGAACAAGGCAUGCUAAUGGGUGUGUUGAGUGUAGGGGUUGAUUAGCGCCGGCUAACUACGUGCCAGCAGCCGCGGUAAUACGUAGGGCGCGAGCGUUGUCCGGAAUUAUUGGGCGUAAAGGGCUUGUAGGUGGCUGGUUGCGUCUGUCGUGAAAGCUCAUGGCUUAACUGUGGGUUUGCGGUGGGUACGGGCUGGCUUGAGUGCAGUAGGGGAGGCUGGAAUUCCUGGUGUAGCGGUGGAAUGCGCAGAUAUCAGGAGGAAUACCGGUGGCGAAGGCGGGUCUCUGGGCUGUUACUGACACUGAGGAGCGAAAGCAUGGGGAACGAACAGG
Molecule: ribosomal RNA, 419 nt
Filed under: bacterium
Lineage: Bacteria
Description: partial 16S ribosomal RNA
Rfam family: Bacterial small subunit ribosomal RNA
Source: RNAcentral